ACCAAAUCAAUGUAAAUAAGUAUUUUUUUUGGGGGUUGGGGGAGCGACUUUUUAUCUCGACUUUCUUUCUUUUUUUUCUUUUUUCUAGGGUUUAGAUCCUUUGUUUCUGCUGCACCAGGCGGCCUUCCUCUGCUCUUCCUCGUUCCGGGUAGGGUUGUGAAUUACAUAAGUUGUGUUUUGUGGUAGAUCCAAAGCUUUUUGGGUGAGGGUUUCCUUUAGAUCUGCACUGAUUUUGCUCCAAUAGAGGCGAGCUGCUUAUUUCUUCUGUUACGGUGCAAUGGCCACAGUUCUGUUAAGCUAUGGUUGAGGGGUCUUUUUUUCAGUGUGGAUGGUUAUCGCAGGGGUUUUUAGCCAACCUCCUUCUUGGUGGCCGACCUUCAAGGCCAAUAGAUGUUAGUGCUGGUGAACUCUGCCUCCAUUCCCUUUGAAGGUUAUCGUAGAUAGCUGUGUGUUUUGGAUAUCGAGUUUGGUUGACUAGUUGGGUUUGAGUCUCGGCUAUGGCUUUGUUAAACAUGCAAGCUUGGUUACCAUGGAUGCCUAUGUUUUCUUCUCGCAACGGCCAAACAGUUCUGGCUCAAGAGACCAACGGCCCUGUAAGGGAUGAUGGAUGCUGAGCUCUUUAGUUUUUUAUCUGGGUUAUGUGUUUAUGUAGAGAUUGUCUUUUGAGGCCCUUUGCGCUACUUCUGGAAGGAAGGGUUGCUGGAUGGUGUUUCAUACGUGUAUCUCUUUCUCAUCUUGCCAGCAUCUUCUUCUCCCAGUUGACAAUCGGUGGCCGGCGGCAUUCCUCUUCUAGUCUCUUGUUAGCUCUAAGUUUGUUGGUUGUAGGCCUCUGAGCCGAGUUGCUUGUUUAGAGCUAGUACUUUGGGACUUUUUCUCUAUGUGAUCUUGAGUUGUAUUUGGGUUUGGUUCUCUUGAGCCCUGAGUUUGUAUUAAUCCUUAUGAUUUAAU
Molecule: unclassified non-coding RNA, 948 nt
Filed under: Hevea brasiliensis (rubber tree)
Lineage: Eukaryota; Viridiplantae; Streptophyta; Magnoliopsida; Malpighiales; Euphorbiaceae
Source: RNAcentral